Molecule: ribosomal RNA, 253 nt
Filed under: uncultured bacterium
Lineage: Bacteria
Description: partial 16S ribosomal RNA
Rfam family: Bacterial small subunit ribosomal RNA
Source: RNAcentral
UACGGGGGGGGUAAGCGUUGUUCGGAAUUACUGGGCGUAAAGGGCUCGUAGGCGGCCAACUAAGUCAUACGUGAAAUCCCUCAGCUUAACUGGGGAACUGCGUGUGAUACUGGAUGGCUUGGAUUUGGGAGAGGGAUGCGGAAUUCCAGGUGUAGCGGUGAAAUGCGUAGAUAUCUGGAGGAACACCGGUGGCGAAGGCGGCAUCCUGGACCAAUAUUGACGCUGAGGAGCGAAAGCAUGGGGAGCGAACAGG